GAAACUAUAUAAGAAUGAAGCAUAUGUUAGAGAUGUAAACAAAACAAAAAAGUCACACAUUCUUCACUUAAAGCUUAAGCUUUUGGGAUAGUAACCGGUUCAUGUCAGCAUCCAUAAUCUUCAUAAACUUCAUAAACAACAAGAACGACACAUCUCUUUGAAAAGGUUUGGAUCUCAUCCCAGACAUUAGCUUAAAGGGUGAGGUUGCCCUCAUAUAUU
This 219-nucleotide long non-coding RNA is filed under the name Lathyrus oleraceus (garden pea). Its description in RNAcentral is "Pisum sativum (pea) long non-coding RNA (PSAT_LNC041620)". Lineage: Eukaryota; Viridiplantae; Streptophyta; Magnoliopsida; Fabales; Fabaceae. The record is from RNAcentral.